UUUUCAUCAGACAAUCUGUGUGAGCACUGCAAAGUACGCUUCUUUAAGGUAAGGAGGUGAUCCAACCGCAGGUUCCCCUACGGUUACCUUGUUACGACUUCACCCCAGUCAUGAAUCACAAAGUGGUAAGCGCCCUCCCGAAGGUUAAGCUACCUACUUCUUUUGCAACCCACUCCCAUGGUGUGACGGGCGGUGUGUACAAGGCCCGGGAACGUAUUCACCGUGGCAUUCUGAUCCACGAUUACUAGCGAUUCCGACUUCAUGGAGUCGAGUUGCAGACUCCAAUCCGGACUACGACGCACUUUAUGAGGUCCGCUUGCUCUCGCGAGGUCGCUUCUCUUUGUAUGCGCCAUUGUAGCACGUGUGUAGCCCUGGUCGUAAGGGCCAUGAUGACUUGACGUCAUCCCCACCUUCCUCCAGUUUAUCACUGGCAGUCUCCUUUGAGUUCCCGGCCGGACCGCUGGCAACAAAGGAUAAGGGUUGCGCUCGUUGCGGGACUUAACCCAACAUUUCACAACACGAGCUGACGACAGCCAUGCAGCACCUGUCUCACGGUUCCCGAAGGCACAUUCUCAUCUCUGAAAACUUCCGUGGAUGUCAAGACCAGGUAAGGUUCUUCGCGUUGCAUCGAAUUAAACCACAUGCUCCACCGCUUGUGCGGGCCCCCGUCAAUUCAUUUGAGUUUUAACCUUGCGGCCGUACUCCCCAGGCGGUCUACUUAACGCGUUAGCUCCGGAAGCCACGCCUCAAGGGCACAACCUCCAAGUAGACAUCGUUUACGGCGUGGACUACCAGGGUAUCUAAUCCUGUUUGCUCCCCACGCUUUCGCACCUGAGCGUCAGUCUUUGUCCAGGGGGCCGCCUUCGCCACCGGUAUUCCUCCAGAUCUCUACGCAUUUCACCGCUACACCUGGAAUUCUACCCCCCUCUACAAGACUCAAGCCUGCCAGUUUCGAAUGCAGUUCCCAGGUUGAGCCCGGGGAUUUCACAUCCGACUUGACAGACCGCCUGCGUGCGCUUUACGCCCAGUAAUUCCGAUUAACGCUUGCACCCUCCGUAUUACCGCGGCUGCUGGCACGGAGUUAGCCGGUGCUUCUUCUGCGGGUAACGUCAAUUGCUGCGGUUAUUAACCACAACACCUUCCUCCCCGCUGAAAGUACUUUACAACCCGAAGGCCUUCUUCAUACACGCGGCAUGGCUGCAUCAGGCUUGCGCCCAUUGUGCAAUAUUCCCCACUGCUGCCUCCCGUAGGAGUCUGGACCGUGUCUCAGUUCCAGUGUGGCUGGUCAUCCUCUCAGACCAGCUAGGGAUCGUCGCCUUGGUGAGCCGUUACCUCACCAACAAGCUAAUCCCAUCUGGGCACAUCUGAUGGCAAGAGGCCCGAAGGUCCCCCUCUUUGGUCUUGCGACGUUAUGCGGUAUUAGCCACCGUUUCCAGUAGUUAUCCCCCUCCAUCAGGCAGUUUCCCAGACAUUACUCACCCGUCCGCCACUCGUCAGCAAAGCAGCAAGCUGCUUCCUGUUACCGUUCGACUUGCAUGUGUUAGGCCUGCCGCCAGCGUUCAAUCUGAGCCAUGAUCAAACUCUUCAAUUUAAAAGUUUGAUGCUCAAUGAAUUAAACUUCGUAAUGAAUUACGUGUUCACUCUUGAGACUUGGUAUUCAUUUUUCGUCNNNNNNNNNNNNNNNNNNNNGA
Molecule: ribosomal RNA, 1691 nt
Filed under: Salmonella enterica subsp. enterica serovar Paratyphi A
Lineage: Bacteria; Pseudomonadati; Pseudomonadota; Gammaproteobacteria; Enterobacterales; Enterobacteriaceae
Description: 16S ribosomal RNA
Source: RNAcentral